RNAcentral lists this ribosomal RNA (1178 nucleotides) under Klebsiella pneumoniae. Its description in RNAcentral is "partial 23S ribosomal RNA". It matches the Rfam family "Bacterial large subunit ribosomal RNA", at positions 146 to 1365 of the family's 2925-position model. Lineage: Bacteria; Pseudomonadati; Pseudomonadota; Gammaproteobacteria; Enterobacterales; Enterobacteriaceae. The record is from RNAcentral.
CACUAUCGUUAACUGAAUACAUAGGUUAACGAGGCGAACCGGGGGAACUGAAACAUCUAAGUACCCCGAGGAAAAGAAAUCAACCGAGAUUCCCCCAGUAGCGGCGAGCGAACGGGGAGCAGCCCAGAGUCUGAAUCAGCUUGUGUGUUAGUGGAACGGUCUGGAAAGUCCGACGGUACAGGGUGAUAGUCCCGUACACCAAAAUGCACAGGCUGUGAACUCGAAGAGUAGGGCGGGACACGUGGUAUCCUGUCUGAAUAUGGGGGGACCAUCCUCCAAGGCUAAAUACUCCUGACUGACCGAUAGUGAACCAGUACCGUGAGGGAAAGGCGAAAAGAACCCCGGCGAGGGGAGUGAAAAAGAACCUGAAACCGUGUACGUACAAGCAGUGGGAGCACCUUCGGGUGUGACUGCGUACCUUUUGUAUAAUGGGUCAGCGACUUAUAUUCUGUAGCAAGGUUAACCGUAUAGGGGAGCCGCAGGGAAACCGAGUCUUAACUGGGCGUUAAGUUGCAGGGUAUAGACCCGAAACCCGGUGAUCUAGCCAUGGGCAGGUUGAAGGUUGGGUAACACUAACUGGAGGACCGAACCGACUAAUGUUGAAAAAUUAGCGGAUGACUUGUGGCUGGGGGUGAAAGGCCAAUCAAACCGGGAGAUAGCUGGUUCUCCCCGAAAGCUAUUUAGGUAGCGCCUCGUGAACUCAUCUUCGGGGGUAGAGCACUGUUUCGGCUAGGGGGUCAUCCCGACUUACCAACCCGAUGCAAACUACGAAUACCGAAGAAUGUUAUCACGGGAGACACACGGCGGGUGCUAACGUCCGUCGUGAAGAGGGAAACAACCCAGACCGCCAGCUAAGGUCCCAAAGUCAUGGUUAAGUGGGAAACGAUGUGGGAAGGCACAGACAGCCAGGAUGUUGGCUUAGAAGCAGCCAUCAUUUAAAGAAAGCGUAAUAGCUCACUGGUCGAGUCGGCCUGCGCGGAAGAUGUAACGGGGCUAAACCAUGCACCGAAGCUGCGGCAGCGACACUAUGUGUUGUUGGGUAGGGGAGCGUUCUGUAAGCCUGCGAAGGUGACCUGUGAGGGUUGCUGGAGGUAUCAGAAGUGCGAAUGCUGACAUAAGUAACGAUAAAGCGGGUGAAAAGCCCGCUCGCCGGAAGACCAAGGGUUCCUGUCCAACGU